Molecule: ribosomal RNA, 258 nt
Filed under: Triticum aestivum (bread wheat)
Lineage: Eukaryota; Viridiplantae; Streptophyta; Magnoliopsida; Poales; Poaceae
Description: partial small subunit ribosomal RNA
Source: RNAcentral
AUGAAUCCACCUCGCGUCCCUCAGCUCCAGCUCCAUCUCCACGCCGACAACAAGCUCGCCGCCGCCGUCCAGCUUCAGCUCCGGCGUCAUGGACUCCUGGUCGGACGGUUUGUUCUCGACAUCGACAUCCCGAGCAAGAAAGUGAAGGUGGUGGGCGACGUGACGCCGCUGGGCGUGCUCACCAGCGUCUCCAAGGUGAAGCCCACGCAGUACUGUCCGUCGCAGCCGUGCCCCCCGCGCGCCUCCGCUUCCUUCUGA